RNAcentral lists this ribosomal RNA (253 nucleotides) under uncultured bacterium. RNAcentral's name for it is "partial 16S ribosomal RNA". It matches the Rfam family "Bacterial small subunit ribosomal RNA", at positions 524 to 776 of the family's 1533-position model. The record is from RNAcentral.
GACGGAGGGCGCUAGCGUUGUUCGGAAUCACUGGGCGUAAAGGGCGCGUAGGCGGCCAUGUAAGUCGGGGGUGAAAGCCCGGGGCUCAACCCCGGAACGGCCUUCGAGACUGCGUGGCUGGAGACCGGAAGAGGAGGGUGGAAUACCCAGUGUAGAGGUGAAAUGCGUAGAUAUUGGGUGGAACACCAGUGGAGAAAGCGGCUCUCUGGUCCGGUUCUGACGCUGAGGCGCGAAAGCGUGGGGAGCAAACAGG